This 572-nucleotide small RNA is filed under the name Pan troglodytes (chimpanzee). RNAcentral describes it as "processed transcript". The record is from RNAcentral. Lineage: Eukaryota; Metazoa; Chordata; Mammalia; Primates; Hominidae.
CUAGCCAUACAGGACCCAGACACUCUUUGUCCAGCUCUGUUUUCCCAGUGUCUCCUGGGGAGUGAUUCAGGGCCAAGGUGACAGUGGGUUUGGAGCCCAGAUGAAAGGAUCGCAGGGACCACAAGACAAGAUCCCUUGUGUGGUGGCCGGCUGGAAAGAGGAGGGAGUGAGUGUGUGUGGAGAAACUGCCAGAGGCAUGCAGCAUUGGUGAUGGAAAGCCCUUUGUCAUGAAUCUGCAGAAUCUGUAUAUGGCAGUCACCAAACAAGAGGUCCAAGUGGGACAGAAGCAUCAAGGCACUGGUGAGCACUCCAGAGGAGAUCCUCAUACCUCAAACAGUGCUUCCCUGCAAGGAAUCGAUAGCCAAUGUGUAAACCAGCCAGAACAACUGGUCUCCUCAGCCCCAACCCUCUCAGCACCUGAGAAAGAGUCCACGGGUACUUCAGGCCCUCUGCAGAGACCUCAGCUGUCAAAGGUCAAGAGGAAGAAGCCAAGGGGUCUCUUCAGUUAAUCUGUUGUGGCCUCAGCUGCUGAGGAUGGACUUGGAGAAUAGCUUCCAAGCUUCACCUUGAAA